This is a non-coding RNA of Caenorhabditis elegans, 279 nucleotides long. Lineage: Eukaryota; Metazoa; Nematoda; Chromadorea; Rhabditida; Rhabditidae. The record is from Ensembl.
AGGAUAGGAAGAGAAAUUUGGGGUGUGAGGAAUGGUGGGGAGCAAAUAUGGAGUGAAGGAAUCUCUGGGGGUGGGGCACCGCAGGCAUUGGAUACGGUAGAACUAAAAGUGCAAAAGCUGGCAAACUGAUAUGGGGCGGAUUACACCUGGGGGUGGCAGGGCGGAAAAACGACUUUACGCGGAUGGCAAUGAAAAAAUGAGAUGGCGGGGAUCGAGGGGGGGAGGAGGUGACGGUUUCUGAAUGGCAUUUACAAGAAGAGAGAAAGGGGGUGAGAUAGU